This is a small nuclear RNA of Spermophilus dauricus (Daurian ground squirrel), 98 nucleotides long. The record is from Ensembl. Lineage: Eukaryota; Metazoa; Chordata; Mammalia; Rodentia; Sciuridae.
GUGGCUGUGUUGCAGCACAUAUACUAAAAUUGGAACCAUACAGAGAACAUUAACGUGGCCCCUGUGCAAGGUCCCACAUCUAUUGAACUCAUACUCUU